RNAcentral lists this ribosomal RNA (496 nucleotides) under uncultured bacterium. RNAcentral describes it as "partial 16S ribosomal RNA". It matches the Rfam family "Bacterial small subunit ribosomal RNA", at positions 28 to 507 of the family's 1533-position model. The record is from RNAcentral.
GAUGAACGCUGGCGGCGUGCCUAAUACAUGCAAGUCGAGCGAACAGACGAGGAGCUUGCUCCUCUGACGUUAGCGGCGGACGGGUGAGUAACACGUGGAUAACCUACCUAUAAGACUGGGAUAACUUCGGGAAACCGGAGCUAAUACCGGAUAACAUGUUGAACCGCAUGGUUCAACAGUGAAAGACGGUUUUGCUGUCACUUAUAGAUGGAUCCGCGCCGCAUUAGCUAGUUGGUAAGGUAACGGCUUACCAAGGCAACGAUGCGUAGCCGACCUGAGAGGGUGAUCGGCCACACUGGAACUGAGACACGGUCCAGACUCCUACGGGAGGCAGCAGUAGGGAAUCUUCCGCAAUGGGCGAAAGCCUGACGGAGCAACGCCGCGUGAGUGAAGAAGGUCUUCGGAUCGUAAAACUCUGUUAUUAGGGAAGAACAAAUGUGUAAGUAACUAUGCACGUCUUGACGGUACCGAAUCAGAAAGCCACGCUAACUACGUG